Molecule: ribosomal RNA, 468 nt
Filed under: uncultured bacterium
Lineage: Bacteria
Description: partial 16S ribosomal RNA
Rfam family: Bacterial small subunit ribosomal RNA
Source: RNAcentral
GACGAACGCUGGCGGCGUGCUUAACACAUGCAAGUCGAACGGAAAGGCCCUGCUUUUGUGGGGUGCUCGAGUGGCGAACGGGUGAGUAACACGUGAGUAACCUGCCCUUGACUUUGGGAUAACUUCAGGAAACUGGGGCUAAUACCGGAUAGGAGCUCCUGCUGCAUGGUGGGGGUUGGAAAGUUUCGGCGGUUGGGGAUGGACUCGCGGCUUAUCAGCUUGUUGGUGGGGUAGUGGCUUACCAAGGCUUUGACGGGUAGCCGGCCUGAGAGGGUGACCGGCCACAUUGGGACUGAGAUACGGCCCAGACUCCUACGGGAGGCAGCAGUGGAGAAUAUUACACAAUGGGCGGAAGCCUGAUGCAGCAACGCCGCGUGCGGGAUGACGGCCUUCGGGUUGUAAACCGCUUUCGCCUGUGACGAAGCGUGAGUGACGGUAAUGGGUAAAGAAGCACCGGCUAACUACGUG